Molecule: non-coding RNA, 1071 nt
Organism: Camellia sinensis
Lineage: Eukaryota; Viridiplantae; Streptophyta; Magnoliopsida; Ericales; Theaceae
Source: RefSeq, a predicted model, not a curated record
ACGGCAUCAUAAAAUUAGUUGAAGUAUUGGCAAAUUGAAAACAGUUUUCGACAACACCACCACUACUUCCCACUUCUGGAUCGAAAAUAACAAACAAACUCAUCAAGUAGUUCUUCAAGAUGACCGCUGGUGGCGCGCGGUUGUUAGAUCGUCGGAGCUCGAAGAAAAUCAUCUGCGACGCCGCCGCCGCCGGUGCCACCGCAGGGGCUAUAGCUGCCACUUUUGUGUGCCCAUUGGAUGUGAUCAAAACCAGAUUGCAAGUCCAUGGCCUUCCUGAAGCUCACCAUUCUGUCCAAAAGGUAGUAUCAUUAUUACAAGCCUACAGAAUAUAAUAUGAACCGAGGGUUUGAAGGGACUGUACCGUGACCUUUCACCAACAUUGGUGGCACUACUUCCAAACUGGGCAACAGUACUCAUUGCUUGCUUAUGUGCAGUCACUAUGGUUACACUACUGAGGAGUUUUUAGUUCCAACGAAGGAAUCAGCCUGUGGUUUUCUUGUGUCCGAAUCUCCAGAAAUCCCCUCUUUCUUUCUUUUGUUAAUUCUUUUAUAAGUUGAAUGCUUCUGUACUAAUGUUUUAGUUCAUAUCCACUUUAUUUGAAGUGUGCCAGGAGGCUUACUUGCAGAGCUUAAACAUAUUUCAGCUUGGUGUGUGCAUCCUAGCACUUGAAAGGAGUUUUUCUUUCAAACUUCAUCUCAUUUUCCAGCAGUGGUUCUAGUUUAGAUACUUCUGCAACAUAGAGAAGCAUACUGUACAGCCAACAGGAGAACAUUCUCCAACAAAAUUAAUUACAACUACAGAAUUCUGCAAUAGUAAUACAAACACAAGUUAUAGAUACAAGUAUUUGUUUUCAAGUCAAGCACGGAGAAACUAAAAGCAUUCACUAAUCUACUUCAAUAGGUUAGAAAGAAACUGCAUAUAACAAGAUCCAACCUCCUUGGAGUCUGGUCUUAACAACCCACAGUGGAUUUGCUGCAAUUUCUGUGACAGCACCAGCACCUGAAGCAGCAAUCAUAUUCGCACCAAAUGUAAGUUGAGAACUGUUAUUCACUGUAUUAUCACAGUAUGAAA